RNAcentral lists this ribosomal RNA (253 nucleotides) under uncultured bacterium. RNAcentral describes it as "partial 16S ribosomal RNA". It matches the Rfam family "Bacterial small subunit ribosomal RNA", at positions 524 to 776 of the family's 1533-position model. The record is from RNAcentral.
UACGAAGGGGGCUAGCGUUGCUCGGAAUUACUGGGCGUAAAGGGCGCGUAGGCGGACAGUUUAGUCAGAGGUGAAAGCCCAGGGCUCAACCCUGGAAUUGCCUUUGAUACUGGCUGUCUUGAGUACGGGAGAGGUGUGUGGAACUCCGAGUGUAGAGGUGAAAUUCGUAGAUAUUCGCAAGAACACCAGUGGCGAAGGCGGCCAACUGGUCCGGUACUGACGCUGAGGUGCGAAAGCGUGGGGAGCAAACAGG